GAUGAACGCUGGCGGCGUGCUUAACACAUGCAAGUCGAACGGAAAGGCCCAAGCUUGCUUGGGUACUCGAGUGGCGAACGGGUGAGUAACACGUGGGUGAUCUGCCCUGCACUUCGGGAUAAGCCUGGGAAACUGGGUCUAAUACCGGAUAGGACCACAUUUUGGAUGGUGUGGUGGAAAGUUUUUCGGUGUGGGAUGAGCUCGCGGCCUAUCAGCUUGUCGGUGGGGUAAUGGCCUACCAAGGCGUCGACGGGUAGCCGGCCUGAGAGGGUGUACGGCCACAUUGGGACUGAGAUACGGCCCAGACUCCUACGGGAGGCAGCAGUGGGGAAUAUUGCACAAUGGGCGCAAGCCUGAUGCAGCGACGCCGCGUGGGGGAUGACGGCCUUCGGGUUGUAAACUCCUUUCGCUAGGGACGAAGCGCAAGUGACGGUACCCGGAGAAGAAGCACCGGCUAACUACGUG
This 465-nucleotide ribosomal RNA is filed under the name uncultured bacterium. RNAcentral describes it as "partial 16S ribosomal RNA". It matches the Rfam family "Bacterial small subunit ribosomal RNA", at positions 28 to 507 of the family's 1533-position model. The record is from RNAcentral.